UACGUAGGGUGCGAGCGUUAAUCGGAAUUACUGGGCGUAAAGCGUGCGUAGGCGGUUCUCCAAGUCCGUUGUGAAAGCCCCGGGCUCAACCUGGGAACUGCAUUUGUGACUGCACGGCUGGAGUGCGGCAGAGGGGGAUGGAAUUCCGCGUGUAGCAGUGAAAUGCGUAGAUAUGCGGAGGAACACCGAUGGCGAAGGCAAUCCCCUGGGCCUGCACUGACGCUCAUGCACGAAAGCGUGGGGAGCAAACAGG
RNAcentral lists this ribosomal RNA (253 nucleotides) under uncultured bacterium. Its description in RNAcentral is "partial 16S ribosomal RNA". It matches the Rfam family "Bacterial small subunit ribosomal RNA", at positions 524 to 776 of the family's 1533-position model. The record is from RNAcentral.